Molecule: ribosomal RNA, 492 nt
Filed under: uncultured bacterium
Lineage: Bacteria
Description: partial 16S ribosomal RNA
Rfam family: Bacterial small subunit ribosomal RNA
Source: RNAcentral
AGUGAACGCUGGCGGUAGGCCUAACACAUGCAAGUCGAACGGCAGCACAGUAAGAGCUUGCUCUUACGGGUGGCGAGUGGCGGACGGGUGAGGAAUACAUCGGAAUCUACUUUUUCGUGGGGGAUAACGUAGGGAAACUUACGCUAAUACCGCAUACGACCUACGGGUGAAAUCAGGGGAUCUUCGGACCUUGCGCGAUUGAAUGAGCCGAUGUCGGAUUAGACAGUUGGCGGGGGAAAGGCGCACCAAGGCGGCGAUCCGUAGCUGGUAUGAGAGGAUGAUCAGCCACACUGGAACUGAGAAACGGUCCAGACUCCUACGGGAGGCAGCAGUGGGGAAUAUUGGACAAUGGGCGCAAGCCUGAUCCAGCAAUACCGCGUGAGUGAAGAAGGCCUUCGGGUUGUAAAGCCCUUUUGUUGGGAAAGAAAAGCAGCAGGUUAAUACCCCGCUGUUCUGACGGUACCCAAAGAAUAAGCACCGGCUAACUUCGUG